GACGAACGCUGGCGGCGUGCUUAACACAUGCAAGUCGAACGGAAAGGCCCUGCUUUUGUGGGGUGCUCGAGUGGCGAACGGGUGAGUAACACGUGAGUAACCUGCCCUUGACUUUGGGAUAACUUCAGGAAACUGGGGCUAAUACCGGAUAGGAGCUCCUGCUGCAUGGUGGGGGUUGGAAAGUUUCGGCGGUUGGGGAUGGACUCGCGGCUUAUCAGCUUGUUGGUGGGGUAGUGGCUUACCAAGGCUUUGACGGGUAGCCGGCCUGAGAGGGUGACCGGCGACAUUGGGACUGAGAUACGGCCCAGACUCCUACGGGGGGCAGCAGUGGGGAAUAUUGCACAAUGGGCGGAAGCCUGAUGCGGCAACGCCGCGUGCGGGAUGACGGCCUUCGGGUUGUGAACCGCUUUCGCCUGUGACGAAGCGUGAGUGACGGUAAUGGGUAAAGAAGCACCGGCUAACUACGUG
Molecule: ribosomal RNA, 468 nt
Filed under: uncultured bacterium
Lineage: Bacteria
Description: partial 16S ribosomal RNA
Rfam family: Bacterial small subunit ribosomal RNA
Source: RNAcentral